GACCAGGAAUCAGCAAACCAAGGCUCCGAUUCUUCCACAGCCCAUACGUGAUGUGCUGUCCCCAGCACCGGGCCGGGCGUGAAGCAGGGGGGCCCUGUGGCACCCACCCGCAGGGCUGUUGGCAAACAGCCGCUGGACAGGCCCCGGGAAGGCACCAGCUGCUCACGCUGUGCGGCACCGGCACCGAGAGACACCGAACGGAACGGAGGCGCAGGGGCGUGUGCGUGUGUGAAGCAGGUUUAGUCCCUCUUCCCCAAAGACGUGAAGAUGCGACGACAGCACAGAGAACGGCCUCAGGUAACUGCGCAGUAAAUGUUACUGGAACAGAAUCUCUUCCAUGUCAUUCAUGCCUCAGUACCAUCUUUGUGGCUCCCCCGUCGGGUAACGGGCCUCACAGCGCGCUUUGGCUGGCCUUGCUCUGUCCACUAUCAACAACCUGCUUUGCAAACAAGGUAUAGAAGCCAAAGAUCCUGGCAUUCCAGCACAGCAGAGAAAAACAUCAGCCAAUUUAUAUUUUUAAUACAUUAUAACUAUCUGGUAAAUUCUGAUUUUGCUAAUGAGAUUAUUACAUCCCUGACCCAUGUAACAAAUUCCAGUGACUCAGAAAGUGCUCAUCACUGAUCCUCUUUGAGAGAAACUUCAGGAGAGACAGAAAACUCUUGACUUGACUUCAGCUGAACUAUGGUUAUGCUAAGAUGAAAAGUCAGUUUGUCAGCAGGGAGGAUGAAAUGAGAAGUGGAAAUUCUCCAACGAGAAGAAUGCGAAACAGAGCAAGGGCUUAAGAAACCGUAACAAAUGUUGUCAUUAAGAGCACCAGUAAAAUGUUACCAGUCGAAUUUUCAGUUUUACCUCUGCUGACAGAUGUUCUUACUGUGUUACCUGUCCUGCUGUGCUGAUUUUGCUUCUGGUUAGACGUUCAUUAGUUAAAUACAGUGUUAUGCAGCCAAGCUAGAAAAUGUCAGUAAGAAAACUGCCAUUUGCAAAAUGUGCAAUGUCUUAAGAAUUAUUUCUUCCAUUAGGAGCAUUUCUCUGAAGCAGAAUAACCUAAACACUAGGUAAACAGAUGACUUCCACAACCUGUGUGUGACUUAAAAUGAUUCCACUGAGUAACAGCUGUACACAGUGUUAGAACUUCACUGGUAAGUACUGUGACUCUGGAGCAAGUCACCUCUCCUGCACCUUACAUUUUGUAGAUAUAAAUAGGACUCACUCUACCAGGUACAGUUACACGACAGUACUGUUACCUUUCUGAACCUACACCAGAGGUGAACAAGUGCCUGUUUUACCUAUUAGAUUCUUACAAAAUAGUAAACAAAAGUAUAUGUUUGCUUUCACGAAACGCAAAAUGUUGAAGCAAAGUUCCAGAGAAACUAGAGAGUUCCAACCUGUGUAAUUCACAUCUUGCUGCUUGGUCCUACUUCCCAACUUCCAACUUCUUACCUUCCAAAAGCAGUAAAUUGGCAAAAAUUCACUUAUCCAAGAAGCCCCCAUUGGCUGUUAAACCUCUCUACAGCACCUGUAGCAUCUAUUGACAAGUUUAAAGAGUGGAUGUCUGGAGAGUAACAAUGUAGUUUUUAUGUAACUAUUGGCCAAUCAGUAACUCUUUACUUAGACAUUUGCCUAUUAUGCAGUCAGGAGAGUUAGAUAACCAUCCAUAUGGGAGUGAGCAACACCACCACAGGACGCCUUUUACAUUAACCAUCUUUCAGAUAAACGUUCAACUCUGUUCUUUUCUCCAAUAUUCUGUAGCACCGUGAGAAGAGGUAUCUAAAGCACUGCAAGCAAAGCUACUGCAAAAAUGAGGAAUGACCAGGGCCUUUUAAUCAGACCUGUUCCGUAGGAAUCAGAACAUCAGUGAACACUGGUUUCUAAUGUCUGGCUUAGAAGCAGGUUGGAGAGAAAACACUGGUGCUGCAAAAGUGCUGCACACCACAAGGAAUUUCUGGAAGGUUUGGAAAUUUCAGAGUUGUGACUUUGGUUGUGAUUUAGGUUUUGUUUUUAAAUGGAAGUACCUUCAGAGUACAGUGCUUACUGUCUCCACUGCUCCUCCAUGCUAAAAGGUUCAUCCUGGUGCUAAAAGAUAAUUCUCAUCUUGGUGACUAGAAGGUCAUCUGCUUUUCAACCAAGUGGCACUAGUGCAAGGAUAAAUUGCAUUGAUUUAAUCCAUCACCUCUUGGCAAAGCGGUCUGUUUGGUCUGAACAGCUAAAAACAUUCCACACGACUUCAUUUUUUUAAUGUAAAAAUUUGUUCUACUGUCUCAAGUUACAUUCUGUAAAUAAUAAGCAACACUGAUGAAAUACAAAAAGCUGAAGAUUUGUAAAGCAGAAUAAACGGUGGUGUGCCCACAUCUGGGUUACAUUAAACAUGCA
This is a long non-coding RNA of Tyto alba (common barn owl), 2370 nucleotides long. RefSeq lists it as uncharacterized. The record is from RefSeq and is a predicted model, not a curated record. NCBI's taxonomy places the organism in Eukaryota, Metazoa, Chordata, Aves, Strigiformes, Tytonidae. The transcript has 2 exons.